AUGUCUCCUCGUAGCGUCCAUACCCGGUUGCUCUUGUGUGGUCACUGUACCUGGUGGGUACAGGUGUUCCUUGGAAUGGACCCUCAAAUAUCAGGACAGCUAAUGCACCUUCUUCCCCUCCUCCCCUGUCUCUCACCAACCGCUGAGUCACUCACCAGUUGCCCUGUGCUGUGGUCCCCACCCCUUCUCGUUAACUUCCUUGCUCUGCCCGGAAUACCCACCACGACCUCCAGAAUUGCACUUUGGACGCAAGGGGAGAGGGCGGCGUCACCUCUCCAGAGCUCCAGGAUUGCAACAAGGACCUUCAGCAAGUUGCCCAAGCCUUGGGGGAGGCCUUUCCUGCCACCAGCUCGCUCCGUCACACGUCACAUGUCCGUCUUACCGACAACUCGGCACUUAGCGCUGUCUCCGUCCUUUGGUCGCAACCUGCCUCUCCUCUCGGUCCCGAGCUCCGGGAGUGCAGACCCCUGCCUGUCUCCCACCUGCCCUGUGUCUACCGUGGCGUCUCCAUCAAUCCUGCUUGAAUAAGUGAGUGAAGAGUUGAACUGCCCUUCCUUUUGCUUCGUUCCCGUCCGCCAGGCCAGCUGCCUGACAGGUUAGAAGGUCUGCUGGGAAGACUGCGGGUGCACUGCGGGUGCUCUGCCGUCCUCUAACAGUUAAGACUCACUCUGGAUGGGUUUCUGUUACCUGUCUGUGUAGGAGUCCAUGAGCCUGGUCAUCGUCACCAUCAUCACGACCUGCCAUUCAGACUGCCAGGCUGCACCAGCCGCAGAUGGGAACCCGGCCGUCCCCUUGAUCCUCACAAAAGCGGAACCCGUGAGAUUAGCGCUGGCAUUGCCCAGGUGCGGAGGGCUUGCGUGGCGUGUGAGUCCCCAGAAGCUGAGUCGGGGUCUGCCUGACCCCAGAGCCGGUGUGCUCGUCCCGGGGCCACAGUCGGGCUCCUGCCCCUCCUGGAGGGUUCGUACCCUCACCCUCGCCCGGUCAUGGGUGACGAUGCCGCCACCUCACCCCAUCCUUCGCACAGACCUGUCCGCCCUGCGGUGUCUCCCGUGAGCCAGGCAGGCGAUCUUUUCACUGUCAGCUGUGGCCACACAGCACCUUUCCAGGUCCUCUCGCUUGCAAGGAGGUGAUGAGGGAGGACUCCACCUGUUGUCGUGUCUUCUUUAUUUGUUUUGUUUUUAGAACCCUGGCUCUUUUUUUUUUUUUUUUUUUUUUUUAAACAGGCAGAGUGGACAGUGGACAGUGAGAGAGAGAGACAGAGAGAAAGGUCUUCCUUUGCCGUUGGUUCACUCUCCAAUGGCCGCCUCGGCUGGCGCACCGUGCUGAUCCGAAGCCAGGAGCCAGGUGCUUCUCCUGGUCUCCCAUGGGGUGCAGGGCCCAAGCACUUGGGCCAUCCUCCACUGCACUCCCGGGCCACAGCAGAGAGCUGGCCUGGAAGAGGGGCAACCGGGACAGAAUCCGGCGCCCCGACCGGGACUAGAACCCGGUGUGCCAGCACCGCAAGGCGGAGGAUUAGCCUAGUGAGCCG
Molecule: long non-coding RNA, 1528 nt
Filed under: Oryctolagus cuniculus (rabbit)
Lineage: Eukaryota; Metazoa; Chordata; Mammalia; Lagomorpha; Leporidae
Description: lncRNA (ENSOCUG00000039173.1)
Source: RNAcentral